GUCCUCGUGGCCUAGAGGAUGGGCACCAGCCUCCGGAGCUGGACGGACGCAGGUUCGAAUCCUGCCGAGGACG
Molecule: transfer RNA, 73 nt
Filed under: Actinomycetota bacterium
Lineage: Bacteria; Bacillati; Actinomycetota
Description: Actinobacteria bacterium (soil metagenome) tRNA-Arg
Rfam family: tRNA
About the family: Transfer RNA (tRNA) molecules are approximately 80 nucleotides in length.
Source: RNAcentral